UUCCUCUUCCCGCGAGCCGUGUGUCUAAGGAAACGGAGAAGGAGUUCGGGUGUGCGUUGGAACGCUGGAUAGAGAGAGGGGACACGAGAAGCGGCGGCGGCGGCGGCGGGACGGAGUGGGGUAGAGGAAGGGAACCGGCCGCGAGGUGGGUAGGCGAGAGGGGUGGCGGGGGAGAGUAGAGAGUGUAGCGGAGGAGGAGGAGAGCGCGGAGCGGAAGGUGCGGCAGCGGCGGUGAUAGCGGCGAGGAGGAGAAGAAGGAACACGGGGAAGGUAGGGGAGAACACCGCCUGCUAGGAGAGCUGCUACCUACACCCUCUCCCUCUUAGGCCCUUCCACCCGCCCAGGCCCAGUUGUAUCCCAGCUAAAGCUCCGGAGAGUACCGGCGCGGGUGUGGUGGACACGAAGAGGGGAGGACGCCGCGUCGACGACGAAGACCUCGAGACAAGCCUUUCCUUAUGCAGAUCGGCGGCCGGUUACCUUCCGGGAGUAGCCGGAGGUUAGGGUACGUAGGUCGGGGACUAAGCACGUGCGCCGUUUUGCCGGCGACGACGGCCUCGCGGGAAGCAGUCGCUCCUCCGGGUCUCACUGUGGCGGCGGCCGCGGCCACGAGGGGUUGCAUCGGUGAGGCUGCUGCCGGUCCUAACAAUGACAGACAGAGUUCAAGGAACUUCAUUGCAUGUACGUGUACGGGCGCAGACUAAACAAGAGCACCAGCACAAGGACGGCAUCGACGCAGGUGCCAACACGUCCUCGUUAAAUUCUAACUUUUCCUACUACCCUCCUACGUUGACUGUGUCCUAUCGCUCGUUACCGGUACCGAGUUGCUGCCGCCUCUUCUACCACGUCACAGAACCGACCCCAAGCUAUACUACACACUGGACUCCGUUCGAGAUGUUACUGAGAUGAGGAAACCUCUAGUGUACAGAAAACAUCGUACAAUCCGAAACUAAAGUUAAGUUACUACACGAGACAAUAGUUGGAACAUUUUGACAGUGGAUAAACUAUUAUACCUGGAUUGGAACGAUACGGACUACUAACUUGUAAAAAACAAUUCGAACAAAUUGAGAUAAGUAUAAAAUUGUUGACUCGAUGAGAUCG
RNAcentral lists this ribosomal RNA (1098 nucleotides) under Triticum aestivum (bread wheat). Its description in RNAcentral is "partial small subunit ribosomal RNA". Lineage: Eukaryota; Viridiplantae; Streptophyta; Magnoliopsida; Poales; Poaceae. The record is from RNAcentral.